CCACGACCACCCCGGGCUGCCUGGUCCAGUGCUCUGCCUCCCUCAAUGUAAAGAAGCUCUUCCUCGUGUUGAUGUGAAACGUUUUGUGAUUUAGUUUAUGGCCAUUGCUCCUCACUCUGCGGUGGG
Long non-coding RNA from Corvus hawaiiensis (hawaiian crow), 126 nucleotides. RefSeq lists it as uncharacterized. The transcript has 3 exons. The record is from RefSeq and is a predicted model, not a curated record. NCBI's taxonomy places the organism in Eukaryota, Metazoa, Chordata, Aves, Passeriformes, Corvidae.